Molecule: long non-coding RNA, 871 nt
Filed under: Cyanistes caeruleus (blue tit)
Lineage: Eukaryota; Metazoa; Chordata; Aves; Passeriformes; Paridae
Description: lncRNA (ENSCCEG00000017225.1)
Source: RNAcentral
CUGCUGUUACAAAACCCACAGAAAAUUUUCAGCUGUUCUACCUCACUCAUUUGGGGUUAAAAACCCCAAAUAAUUGAUUGGCAAGUGAAGGCAAAGCAAAUGAUGGAGAGGGCUGUCAAAACCAGGCGUUAUUUUUGUCUCGGGAUCCUGAACACAUCAGAAGCUCCUUCCCUGCCUGUGGAAUUGUGCUCUCCUCUUGAAUGCUCUGUUCCUUCUGGCUGGGGAGAGAAUCAGGCACAGCCUGCUGGGCUUGGCUGGUGUUUUAUUGCCUCAGAGAUGGCUCUGCCACCUCGCUGUGACCCAUGGCUCCCAGAUCCGCUCCCAGGACGGGCUCCUUCCUAAUCCAGCAGAGAUUUCACCAGCAUGGAUCUGAGUUUUGUUCCAGAAAGAACAGCAGAGGACACCCCAGAACUCAGCAAGUGUUGGCUCUGUGCCGUAAUCCCUCUUUGUGUCUGUCACAAAGAGAUCCUGCGAGGGGCUGGGAUUCCGCUGCCGAAUCCCCAAUCCCUGCGGCAGACCGAGGUGCCAGAGCUGCCAAACUUCCCCUCGUCCCUGUGCCAUGGAGGGGUUUGGUUUCAUUGAAAUUCCCUGAGAUCCCUGGAGCAGGAUCCCCAGGCAGUAGGAAGUGCAAAAGGAAGCAAAGAUGCUGCGUUUGGCUUCUGCAAAUGGAAGAGGCAGGGAAUUGCUGUGAAUUCCAGCAGGGAAUUGCUGUGAACUCCUUCCCUUCAGACUGGUCCAGGAGAACUGCUCAGGAAAGUUGUGAAUUGUUUUAAUGCCAGAUCUGUGUUCAGCUCCUGUUUCCCAGCUUAUUGACCCUUCCAAAAGCCAUCCCAAAAAUAAAACCUGGAUGGAAAGAAAGGGGAGAAGGGAU